Coregonus clupeaformis (lake whitefish) is the source of this 372-nucleotide long non-coding RNA. RefSeq lists it as uncharacterized. The record is from RefSeq and is a predicted model, not a curated record. The transcript is spliced from 3 exons. Lineage: Eukaryota; Metazoa; Chordata; Actinopteri; Salmoniformes; Salmonidae.
GACAGAAGACCCCAUGGUUGUGGCCGUGGCCGUGUGCUGACCGACCAGCAGGAGUGGACAGUGUUGGAAAUGGUGAGGGCCAGGAAUGACAUACGGCUGUCUGAAAUAAAGCAGGCCAAUGAGGAGAACGAUGACACAUUUGCCAAUGUGGCAUCCAUCAGCCUACCAACAAUCGCCUGCCUUUUGAAGAGGCACCAGAUAUUUAUGAUACACAUUUACCUGGUGCCUUUUGAGAGAAACAUGAACGGUGAAACAACUGCGGGCCGAGUUCAGGAGAAAGCCCUACCGGGGUGAGAUCAUCAUCAACAUCUGGAACGGAGCGGGGAGAGAAAGUGAAGGAUGCACCACUGAGAGCAUUCUGUCGGGCUGCAU